CCUACGGGAGGCAGCAGUGAGGAAUAUUGGUCAAUGGACGAGAGUCUGAACCAGCCAAGUCGCGUGAAGGAUGACUGCCCUAUGGGUUGUAAACUUCUUUUAUAUGGGAAUAAAAUGGUCCACGUGUGGGAUUUUGUAUGUACCAUAUGAAUAAGGAUCGGCUAACUCCGUGCCAGCCGCCGCGGUAAUACGGAGGAUCCGAGCGUUAUCCGGAUUUAUUGGGUUUAAAGGGAGCGUAGGUGGAUUGUUAAGUCAGUUGUGAAAGUUUGCGGCUCAACCGUAAAAUUGCAGUUGAAACUGGCAGUCUUGAGUACAGUAGAGGUAGGCGGAAUUCGUGGUGUAGCGGUGAAAUGCUUAGAUAUCACGAAGAACUCCGAUUGCGAAGGCAGCUCACUGGACUGCAACUGACACUGAGGCUCGAAAGUGUGGGUAUCAAACAGGAUUAGAUACCCGAGUAGUC
Molecule: ribosomal RNA, 460 nt
Filed under: uncultured bacterium
Lineage: Bacteria
Description: partial 16S ribosomal RNA
Rfam family: Bacterial small subunit ribosomal RNA
Source: RNAcentral